RNAcentral lists this ribosomal RNA (802 nucleotides) under uncultured bacterium. RNAcentral's name for it is "bacterial SSU rRNA". It matches the Rfam family "Bacterial small subunit ribosomal RNA", at positions 8 to 808 of the family's 1533-position model. The record is from RNAcentral.
AGAGUUUGAUCCUGGCUCAGGAUGAACGCUGGCGGCGUGCUUAACACAUGCAAGUCGAACGAAGCACUUUAUUUGAUUUCCUUCGGGACUGAUUAUUUUGUGACUGAGUGGCGGACGGGUGAGUAACGCGUGGGUAACCUGCCUUGUACAGGGGGAUAACAGUUGGAAACGGCUGCUAAUACCGCAUAAGCGCACGGCAUCGCAUGAUGCAGUGUGAAAAACUCCGGUGGUAUAAGAUGGACCCGCGUUGGAUUAGCUAGUUGGUGAGGUAACGGCCCACCAAGGCAACGAUCCAUAGCCGACCUGAGAGGGUGACCGGCCACAUUGGGACUGAGACACGGCCCAAACUCCUACGGGAGGCAGCAGUGGGGAAUAUUGCACAAUGGGCGAAAGCCUGAUGCAGCGACGCCGCGUGAGCGAAGAAGUAUUUCGGUAUGUAAAGCUCUAUCAGCAGGGAAGAUAAUGACGGUACCUGACUAAGAAGCACCGGCUAAAUACGUGCCAGCAGCCGCGGUAAUACGUAUGGUGCAAGCGUUAUCCGGAUUUACUGGGUGUAAAGGGAGCGCAGGCGGUGCGGCAAGUCUGAUGUGAAAGCCCGGGGCUCAACCCCGGUACUGCAUUGGAAACUGUCGUACUAGAGUGUCGGAGGGGUAAGCGGAAUUCCUAGUGUAGCGGUGAAAUGCGUAGAUAUUAGGAGGAACACCAGUGGCGAAGGCGGCUUACUGGACGAUAACUGACGCUGAGGCUCGAAAGCGUGGGGAGCAAACAGAAUUAGAUACCCUGGUAGUCCACGCCGUAAACG